RNAcentral lists this ribosomal RNA (400 nucleotides) under uncultured bacterium. Its description in RNAcentral is "bacterial SSU rRNA". It matches the Rfam family "Bacterial small subunit ribosomal RNA", at positions 355 to 752 of the family's 1533-position model. The record is from RNAcentral.
UAAGGAAUAUUGGACAAUGCCCGCAAGGGUGAUCCAGCCAUCCCGCGUGCAGGAAGAAAGCCCUAUGGGUUGUAAACUGCUUUUGUAAGGGAAGAAACCCCCUGAUGCGUUAGGGGUUGACGGUACCUUAAGAAUAAGCACCGGCUAACUCCGUGCCAGCAGCCGCGGUAAUACGGAGGGUGCAAGCGUUAUCCGGAAUCACUGGGUUUAAAGGGUGCGUAGGCGGCUAAAUAAGUCAGAGGUGAAAUGCUACGGCUUAACUGUGGAAUUGCCUUUGAAACUAUAUAGCUAGAAUAGAGUUGAGGUUGGCGGAAUGUGACAUGUAGCGGUGAAAUGCAUAGAUAUGUCAUAGAACAUCGAUUGCGAAGGCAGCUAACUGGGCUUUUAUUGACGCUGAGGC